GACGAACGCUGGCGGCGUGCUUAACACAUGCAAGUCGAACGGUGAAGCGCCUUCCUUUUUGGUGGGUGGGGAUGAGUGGCGAACGGGGGAGUAACACGUGAGUAACCUGCUCCCUUCUUCUGGAUAACCGCAUGAAAGUGUGGCUAAUACGGGAUAUUCUGUGUCUGUCGCAUGAUGGGUCCGUGGAAGAUUGUGUGUCGGUGUGGGAUGGGCUCGCGUCCUAUCAGCUUGUUGGUGGGGUGAUGGCCUACCAAGGCGGUGAGGGGUAGCCGGCCUGAGAGGGUCGGCGGCCACACAGGGGCUGAGCGGCGGCGACGCCUCCUGCGGGGGGCAGCAGGGGGGAAUAGUGCACGGUGGGAGGCAUGCUGAUGCAGCGCCGCCGGGUGAGGGAUGGAGGCCUGCGGGUUGUGAACCUCUUUCGCCAGUGAAGCAGGCCUGCCUCGUGUGUGGGUGGGUUGACGGUAGCUGGAUAAGAAGCGCCGGCUAACUACGUG
This 494-nucleotide ribosomal RNA is filed under the name uncultured bacterium. RNAcentral's name for it is "partial 16S ribosomal RNA". It matches the Rfam family "Bacterial small subunit ribosomal RNA", at positions 28 to 507 of the family's 1533-position model. The record is from RNAcentral.